Molecule: ribosomal RNA, 427 nt
Filed under: uncultured bacterium
Lineage: Bacteria
Description: partial 16S ribosomal RNA
Rfam family: Bacterial small subunit ribosomal RNA
Source: RNAcentral
UGGGGAAUUUUGGACAAUGGGCGCAAGCCUGAUCCAGCAAUGCCGCGUGCAGGAUGAAGGCCUUCGGGUUGUAAACUGCUUUUGUACGGAACGAAACGGCGAGCUCUAAUACAGUUUGCUAAUGACGGUACCGUAAGAAUAAGCACCGGCUAACUACGUGCCAGCAGCCGCGGUAAUACGUAGGGUGCAAGCGUUAAUCGGAAUUACUGGGCGUAAAGCGUGCGCAGGCGGUUAUGUAAAACAGAUGUGAAAUCCCCGGGCUUAACCUGGGAACUGCAUUUGUGACUGCAUAGCUAGAGUACGGUAGAGGGGGAUGGAAUUCCGCGUGUAGCAGUGAAAUGCGUAGAUAUGCGGAGGAACACCGAUGGCGAAGGCAAUCCCCUGGACCUGUACUGACGCUCAUGCACGAAAGCGUGGGGAGCAAACA